GGAUCAUCUGGCUGUGACAUCUGUUACCCCAUUGAUUGCCAGGGUUGAUUGGGCUGAUCCAGCUGCCUAACUGUCUUCUUUUUCCCUAUCCACUGAAGCAGCAUGCUGGUGGAGAGCAAUCUUCCUGGACACUGGAAGCAUCUUUCUUAGGUCAGAUAUAUGCAGGUAGCUGUGCUCUGCUGCUAGAACCUCCAAACAAGCUCUCAAGGCCCAUUUGUAGGAGAACAGAGGGCAAUCAAGCUAUGAAGACUUUCAGUUCAGUUCAGUUCAGUCGCUCAGUCGUGUCCAACUCU
This 293-nucleotide small nuclear RNA is filed under the name Bos indicus x Bos taurus (hybrid cattle). RNAcentral's name for it is "7SK RNA (ENSBIXG00005027497.1)". It matches the Rfam family "7SK RNA". Rfam says of the family: 7SK was discovered as an abundant small nuclear RNA in the mid-70s but a possible function has only recently been suggested. Two independent studies have found that 7SK RNA binds the CDK9/cyclin T complex (known as elongation factor P-TEFb). Lineage: Eukaryota; Metazoa; Chordata; Mammalia; Artiodactyla; Bovidae. The record is from RNAcentral.